This 777-nucleotide ribosomal RNA is filed under the name uncultured Neocallimastigales. RNAcentral describes it as "partial large subunit ribosomal RNA". It matches the Rfam family "Eukaryotic large subunit ribosomal RNA", at positions 22 to 639 of the family's 3401-position model. Lineage: Eukaryota; Fungi; Neocallimastigomycota; Neocallimastigomycetes; Neocallimastigales. The record is from RNAcentral.
UCAUAGCGACUAUCGUGGCAUAUCAAUAAGCGGAGGAAAAGAAACUAACUAGGAUUCCCUCAGUAACGGCGAGUGAAGCGGGAAGAGCUCAAAUUUGAAAUCUUCAAGGUUCUACCUUGACGAAUUGUAGUUUAAAGAAGUGUUUUCUGUUGAGUUUCGGUAAAAGUUCUUUGGAAUAGGACAUCAUAGAGGGUGAGAAUCCCGUAUUUGACCGUUACUUUCCAGCUGUGUGAUACACUUUCAAAGAGUCGGAUUGUUUGGGAAUGCAGUCCAAAAUGGGUGGUAAAUUUCAUCUAAAGCUAAAUAUUGGCGAGAGACCGAUAGCGAACAAGUACCGUGAGGGAAAGAUGAAAAGAACUUUGAAAAGAGAGUUAAACAGUACGUGAAAUUGUCAAAAGGGAAGCGUUUGACACCAGUGUUGUUUAGUUGAAAAUCAAUUCAAUAAUUUUUGAUUUUGAGUAGUAUUGACUUCAUCAGCUUGCUGCUUUCUUUUCCGAAAUUAUUGAAUGCACUUUUCAGUUAACAAGUCAACAUCAAUUUCUUUUGUUGUAAAAGGUAAGAGGAAGGUGGCUUGCGCUUCGGCGUCAAGUGUUUAUAGCCUUUUACCUCUGCAAUCGGAGAGAUUGAGGAUCUGCAGCGUAGACUCCUUCGGGGUUAGAUACACUUGUGCUAAGCUAUAGCCUUGUAUAGACAACUUGUUGACUAUGCUCAGUCAUGUAGCUUACUCGCUUAUGCUAUUUUACCUACGCUUAGGAUGUUGACGCGCGUGUGUGCGUG